This 468-nucleotide ribosomal RNA is filed under the name uncultured bacterium. RNAcentral describes it as "partial 16S ribosomal RNA". It matches the Rfam family "Bacterial small subunit ribosomal RNA", at positions 28 to 507 of the family's 1533-position model. The record is from RNAcentral.
GACGAACGCUGGCGGCGUGCUUAACACAUGCAAGUCGAACGGAGAGGCCCGGUUUUUGUGGGGUGCGCGAGUGGCGAACGGGUGUGUAACACGUGAGUAACCUGCCCUUGACUUUGGGAUAACUUCAGUAAACUGGGGCUAAUAUCGGAUAGGAGCUCCUGCUGCAUGGUGGGGGUGGGAAAGAUUCGGCGGUUGGGGAUGGACUCGCGGCUUAUCAGCUUGUUGGUGGGGUAGUGGCUUAACAAGGCAUUGACGGGUAGCCGGCCUGAGAGGGUGACCGGCCACAUUGGGACUGAGAUGCCGCCCGGACUCCUACGGGAGGCAGCGGUGGGGGAUAUUGCACGAUGGGCGGAAGCCUUAUGCAGCAACGCCGCGUGCGGGAUGACGGCCUGCGGGUUGUAACGCUCUUGCGCCUGUGACGAAGCGUGAGUGACGGUAAUGGGUAAAGAAGCACCGGCUAACUACGUG